This is a long non-coding RNA of Apus apus (common swift), 268 nucleotides long. RefSeq lists it as uncharacterized. The record is from RefSeq and is a predicted model, not a curated record. NCBI's taxonomy places the organism in Eukaryota, Metazoa, Chordata, Aves, Apodiformes, Apodidae. The transcript has 2 exons.
GCUUUACCCAAAGCAUGCAACUGCUCGCUCCUCUCCUUUCCUCGCAAAGGGUAGACUGCAACCCAGCCAGUCCAGCUCACAGGUCAAAGUUAAAUCUGAAACAAUUGGAGGAGUCUUUGAAGUAUGCAAGAAAACCCAGCCUCACCCACAUCCAGGCUUUGGCCCAAGUAUUACAGCUUUGGAAACGUCCCUUAUUUUGUUUCUGCCACCCCAUGCUUUACAGAGGAGUGAUUAAGUUUCAAAUGCCAUAAAACACUGAUGAAACCUG